This 926-nucleotide ribosomal RNA is filed under the name uncultured Bacteroidota bacterium. RNAcentral describes it as "bacterial SSU rRNA". It matches the Rfam family "Bacterial small subunit ribosomal RNA", at positions 1 to 917 of the family's 1533-position model. The record is from RNAcentral. Lineage: Bacteria; Pseudomonadati; Bacteroidota.
UGGAUCCAGACUUUGAUUAUGGCUCAGGAUGAACGCUAGCUACAGGCUUAACACAUGCAAGUCGAGGGGAACCGAUAGAGGAAGCUUGCUUUUUCUAGGCGUCGACCGGCGCACGGGUGAGUAACGCGUAUCCAACCUGCCCACCACUUGGGGAUAACCUUGCGAAAGUAAGACUAAUACCCAAUGAUAUCUCAAGAAGACAUCUGAAUGAGAUUAAAGAUUUAUCGGUGAUGGAUGGGGAUGCGUCUGAUUAGCUUGUUGGCGGGGUAACGGCCCACCAAGGCGACGAUCAGUAGGGGUUCUGAGAGGAAGGUCCCCCACAUUGGAACUGAGACACGGUCCAAACUCCUACGGGAGGCAGCAGUGAGGAAUAUUGGUCAAUGGGCGAGAGCCUGAACCAGCCAAGUAGCGUGCAGGAAGACGGCCCUAUGGGUUGUAAACUGCUUUUAUAAGGGAAUAAAGUGAGCCUCGUGAGGUUUUUUGCAUGUACCUUAUGAAUAAGGACCGGCUAAUUCCGUGCCAGCAGCCGCGGUAAUACGGAAGGUCCGGGCGUUAUCCGGAUUUAUUGGGUUUAAAGGGAGCGUAGGCCGGAGAUUAAGCGUGUUGUGAAAUGUAGAUGCUCAACAUCUGCACUGCAGCGCGAACUGGUUUCCUUGAGUACGCACAAAGUGGGCGGAAUUCGUGGUGUAGCGGUGAAAUGCUUAGAUAUCACGAAGAACUCCGAUUGCGAAGGCAGCUCACUGGAGCGCAACUGACGCUGAAGCUCGAAAGUGCGGGUAUCGAACAGGAUUAGAUACCCUGGUAGUCCGCACGGUAAACGAUGGAUGCCCGCUGUUGGUCUGAAUAGGUCAGCGGCCAAGCGAAAGCAUUAAGCAUCCCACCUGGGGAGUACGCCGGCAACGGUGCAACUCAAAGGAAUUGACGGA